RNAcentral lists this ribosomal RNA (250 nucleotides) under uncultured bacterium. RNAcentral's name for it is "partial 16S ribosomal RNA". It matches the Rfam family "Bacterial small subunit ribosomal RNA", at positions 89 to 339 of the family's 1533-position model. The record is from RNAcentral.
UGACGAGUGGCGCACGGGUGCGUAACGCGUAUGUAACCUGCCCGCAACUGGGGAAUAGCCCGGGGAAACCCGGAUUAAUGCCCCAUAACACAGCGCUGCCACAUGGCGGUGCUGUUAAAGAUUUAUCGGUUGCGGAUGGACAUGCGUCCAAUUAGCUAGAUGGCGGGGUAACGGCCCACCAUGGCGAUGAUUGGUAGGGGGCCUGAGAGGGUUGUCCCCCACACUGGUACUGAGACACGGACCAGACUCC